Non-coding RNA from Doryrhamphus excisus (bluestripe pipefish), 1511 nucleotides. NCBI's taxonomy places the organism in Eukaryota, Metazoa, Chordata, Actinopteri, Syngnathiformes, Syngnathidae. The record is from RefSeq and is a predicted model, not a curated record.
AUUGCACCCGACCAUCGGAUCAUCGAAGAGGUGUAUGAUGCUGCCGUGGCCUCACUGUCACUUACGCCCGUCCAGGUUUUAACCCGAUCCGACAUGUAGGCACACAGAUGGAUGCAUCUCAAACAUGCCGGCCACAUGCUUUUAUGCACCCGAUCAGGCAUCAUCAUCAGGCGGCGCACACUCGCAUCAUUUCUGGAUGAAUGCUUUACUGCGGGUGUACAAACAUUGAAGUAAAAGCCGAGGAGGAAACCAAAGACAACAAGCUCUCCGCAUUACCAGUACCUCUCCGGUAUCGUAGACCCAAACCCGUCCUUCUGAGUCUCCCACAGCCACCUCCUUGCCUCCAGACGACCAGCGCACUCUGUUCAAGGCCGACGCACCUUCGAUAGUGGCACUGGCGGUUUCGACAGGCCGGAUGAGUGUAUGAUAAAGGAAACAGCUCAAGCAAAAGGUCUAAUUUGCAUCGAUAUGACAAUGACACCGGAACAACAAAAGAGCGAGGGAGGCUGACAAAGUGUGUGACGAACGAAUUCUGAGAAUUCUGAAGCCGAAUGACUUUUCAGGUCUCACCUGAGGGGACCAGUCAAGACAGGUGACAACACGAUGUUUGGACCAGUGUUCAUCAUAGAAAAGUCUACUGAAGGACAAACUGGAGCCACCAGCUAGAUCUCUAGAAACACACAACAGAGAUGACGUGAAUCUUACCAGCUUCAAGACAACUAAGAAUUACGGGCUCGACCGCUGUAGUCGAAGAAGAUGUCACUGCUUUCGGCAAGAGCUCUCUCCAUCACCCGGAUGCUGCAGUCGAAGAAACUCUGGAACUCAGUAGAGUGAAGUAUCUGCUGCCUUUCCUCCUCCGUCAGCUCCCGCAGCGUGGGGAAAGGACCUGCUGGUAUGGAAAGUUCCAUGCAUCCAUCUGCUGGAAAUGCUGCCUGAUGUGCCUUCUCAGACGGAAGGUUUGGAGAAGACAUAACGUCCAGCAAUACACCGCUCUGUUUCCUAUCUGAAUUUUGACAAGAGCGCUGCUUCACUGGACACAAAGGAGAACUCUGGGCUGAGGGACGACCUUGUAAAUGUUUGGCAUAAGACCGACACCGUCAGACCUUCCUUACGGCUCACGUCUUGGAUUUGUAAACUUCACCAAGCAGCACAUGCAAUCCAUUCUUUUCCUGGAUGAGCAUGUAAACACACCGACAGAUCCCCACUGGAAAUAAGGAAUCCAACUUCACUGCGAUCCACUUGGUCGGGUCUGGAACAGAUUAACAGCACUAAACAAGAGAUUACUGGGAGAAGCCACCCCUCGUCACUCUUAUUUUUUACAAACAGGCUUUGAUUGUCGAAGUGCUGUCCGUUAUUUUGACUUUUGGUCUGAAUCUGUCACCCUUAUUAUGAAUGGUUGUGAAUUUCAUGCUAUAAGUAAUAUUGGUUCCACCCCUCGUCACUCCCCGGCCACCCCACAUUUCAGGUACCAAUUUAUUACCACUCCUAUGUGAGUAAUUGUCUCACCUUGG